CCUACGGGAGGCAGCAGUGAGGAAUAUUGGUCAAUGGACGAGAGUCUGAACCAGCCAAGUAGCGUGAAGGAUGACUGCCCUAUGGGUUGUAAACUUCUUUUAUAAAGGAAUAAAAUGAGGCACGUGUGCCUUUUUGCAUGUACUUUAUGAAUAAGGAUCGGCUAACUCCGUGCCAGCAGCCGCGGUAAUACGGAGGAUCCGAGCGUUCUCCGGAUUUCUUGGGUUUAAAGGGAGCGUAGAUGGGUUGUUAAGUCAGUUGUGAAAGUUUGCGGCUCAACCGUAAAAUUGCAAUUGAUACUGGCAGUCUUGAGUACAGUUGAGGUAGGCGGAAUUCGUGGUGUAGCGGUGAAAUGCUUAGAUAUCACGAAGAACCCCGAUUGCGAAGGCAGCUUACUAAACUGUGACUGACAUUGACGCUCGAAAGUGUGGGUAUCAAACAGGAUUAGAUACCCUGGUAGUC
RNAcentral lists this ribosomal RNA (460 nucleotides) under uncultured bacterium. RNAcentral describes it as "partial 16S ribosomal RNA". It matches the Rfam family "Bacterial small subunit ribosomal RNA", at positions 338 to 795 of the family's 1533-position model. The record is from RNAcentral.